UCCGAGUUGACCCCGGCAGUCUCCCAAGAGUCCCCGGCAUUACCCGCUGGCAACAUGGGACAGGGGUUGCGCUCGUUGCGGGACUUAACCCAACAUCUCACGGCACGAGCUGACGACAGCCAUGCAGCACCUGUGCUAGCCCCUUACGGACACGGGCUUUCACCCGCUUUAACUAGCAUGUCAAGCCUAGGUAAGGUUCUUCGCGUUGCGUCGAAUUAAACAACAUGCUCCGCUGCUUGUGCGGGUCCCCGUCAAUUCCUUUGAGUUUUAGCCUUGCGGCCGUACUCCCCAGGCGGGGCGCUUAAUGCGUUAGCUGCGGCACGGGCGGAGUCGACACCGCCCACACCUAGCGCCCAUCGUUUACGGCGUGGACUAC
This 376-nucleotide unclassified non-coding RNA is filed under the name uncultured Actinomycetes bacterium. Its description in RNAcentral is "uncultured actinobacterium contains 16S-23S intergenic spacer region". The record is from RNAcentral. Lineage: Bacteria; Bacillati; Actinomycetota; Actinomycetes.